AACGAACGCUGGCGGCAUGCCUAACACAUGCAAGUCGAACGAGACCUUCGGGUCUAGUGGCGCCCGGGUGCGUAACGCGUGGGAACCUGCCCUUAGGUUCGGCAUAACUCCCCGAAAGGGGUGCUAAUACCGGAUAAUUUCUUCGGACCAAAGAUUUAUCGCCUUUGGAUGGGCCCGCGUUGGAUUAGCUAGUUGGUAGGGUAAAAGCCUACCAAGGCGACGAUCCAUAGCUGGUCUGAGAGGAUGAACAGCCACACUGGGACUGAGACACGACCCAGACUCGUGCGGGAGGCAGCAGAGGGGAAUAAUGGAGAGGGGGCGAAAGCCUGAUACAGCAAUGCCGGGUGAGUGAUGAAGGGGUUAGGAUUGUAAAGCUCUUUUAGCCGGGAUGAUAAUGACAGUACCGGGAGAAUAAGCUCCGGCUAACUCCGUG
This 433-nucleotide ribosomal RNA is filed under the name uncultured bacterium. RNAcentral describes it as "partial 16S ribosomal RNA". It matches the Rfam family "Bacterial small subunit ribosomal RNA", at positions 29 to 507 of the family's 1533-position model. The record is from RNAcentral.